AAGGAGAAGUCGUAACAAGGUUUCCGUAGGUGAACCUGCAUCAGGGAUUCCGUGGGACCAUAACAAAACCCCGGCACGGCAUGUGCCAGGGAAAACAAAAAUGAGAAGGACACUACCUGUUUCGCCCCGUUUGCGGUGUGCGUACAGGUCGUGGCCUCCUGGGAAUCACAAACGACUCUCGGCAACGGAUAUCUCGGCUCACGCAUCGAUGAAGAACGUAGCAAAAUGCGAUACUUGGUGUGAAUUGCAGAAUCCCGUGAACCAUCGAGUUUUUGAACGCAAGUUGCGCCCGAAGCCAUCCGGCUGAGGGCACGCCUGCCUGGGCGUCACGCAUCGCGUCGCUCCCCACCAUACCUCCCCAACGGGUUGGCAUGGUGUUGGGGGCGGAUAAUGGCCUCCCGUGCUUGUGUUUCGGUUGGCCUAAAUAAGAGUUCCCUUCGGCGGACACACGACUAGUGGUGGUUGAAUAGACCCUCGUCUUUUGUUGCGUGUCGUGAGCUGUAAGGGUAGCCCUCAUCAAAGACCCCAUUGUAUCGUCUUCGGAUGAUGCUUCGACCGCGACCCCAGGUCAGGCGGGACUACCCGCUGAG
This 590-nucleotide ribosomal RNA is filed under the name embryophyte environmental sample. Its description in RNAcentral is "eukaryotic LSU rRNA". The stretch from base 174 to 329 matches the Rfam family "5.8S ribosomal RNA". The record is from RNAcentral. Lineage: Eukaryota; Viridiplantae; Streptophyta.